UAAAUAUAACCGGCAAGAUUGUCCAGCCAAUCUGCCAACAUGUCUACCUCAUGCACCUAUCCCGGUAGACGGUAGCGCAAUCACGCCACACGCCCCGAGCAACUAGGUAUUUAAAACCAAACUCCUGGGGGUCGCGCGCGUAUAAGCCCUCCGGUACAGCCAACGGCUAUGCUGAGCUCAAGCACGACCGUUGCUGACUCACCAGUAAGUAAACCAUUUUUGACAUUAUGGGAUCCCCAUCUCUGAUUCAAACCAAUGCCGGCUUCCUCUUUUAGGCGCGCCGCACUUUAAACCGCCUGCACUAGGCAGGCUGCGAACACACCGGAGCGUAAAAAUGAACACACGCGGCGGAGCCCGUCCUGGCCAUUAUACCGGCCCCACGUGUGUCCAACACCCCGCGCCUCACAGCGCUCACCCGCUAGACGGCCCCGCAUUCCCGCGACAGCGCCCUGAACACACCAACGACCAGGCAUUGGAAAACCUGUUUGACUCAUCCCUGAAGACAUCACGUCCGGCACCUAGAACAACAUCACUUCCGGCUCCGGCGCCUAGGACGAAGUCACUUCUGGUUAUGAUGUCGGAAGAAGUGUGCUCUCUACAUUGCCACUGGAAGAGCAUUUGAUUUCAGUCAGGAAGACAUGCCAUAAAUUAGAAGAUGGUGGUGUUGUCUCUUACGUCGCAAAGCCAGCAUGAAAAGUGCCUAGUAGUAUGGAAAGUGUGGUCCUCACAAAGACACAGCCCUGUCAGGUACUCUGUGUAGUGAAAUGAUUCUCACGGCUCAAACACAGCAAAUGCCUUAAAGGGCGUACCGCAGAGGCAAAAAGCAAGAGAAAUCAAUCGAGCUGAGCAUUCCUACGACAUGCUGUGGUCAUAUUGUCUUCAUUGAUCCAAAACAUCUUGACUGCUUGUGACUGGCUGGAUGCCAACAAAGACAGACUUGUUGGGACAGAACUCCGGCCAAGAAUUCUGGAAAUGGACGAGGAUGAAGUUAUGUACACAACUGAAAAAUUAGAACAAAGAGGAGACGAUGAAAAUACUGAAAAAGUCAUGUCCACCUUGUUGUUUAUUUUUGACUGCCUGAAGGACAUGCACUUUUUUCUUGAUGAGAUACAGGGUAAAAAAAAAUCCCAUCAGUUGCUGCUGUUCUACAAAUUAGAUUUUUGUGUUUUAUUUUUUUUUUCAGCCUUCAAAAUUUCAAAGGAGCCUACAUGUGGCAGAAAUCCUACAGUGGUGUCAUUUUGUUCAGUGGUUCACUGUAAAGAAAAGUGGGGAUGGACUGGUUUUCUGAUCUGGUUCAAUAGUUCCUUGUCUACUGAAAUGACCGAUGUGAUGGAUGGAGGACACGGGUGGAUGUCCUAACUGGGAUUGUGUGCUUUAUCAUUUAAAAAUAAAUUCAUAUUUG
Long non-coding RNA from Polypterus senegalus (gray bichir), 1402 nucleotides. RefSeq lists it as uncharacterized. NCBI's taxonomy places the organism in Eukaryota, Metazoa, Chordata, Cladistia, Polypteriformes, Polypteridae. The record is from RefSeq and is a predicted model, not a curated record. The transcript is spliced from 7 exons.